Molecule: unclassified non-coding RNA, 155 nt
Filed under: uncultured fungus
Lineage: Eukaryota; Fungi
Description: sequence contains ITS1, 5.8S rRNA gene
Source: RNAcentral
CUGAGUGCGGGCUGCCUCCGGGCGCCCAACCUCCCACCCGUGAAUACCUAACACUGUUGCUUCGGCGGGGAACCCCCUCGGGGGCGAGCCGCCGGGGACUACUGAACUUCAUGCCUGAGAGUGAUGCAGUCUGAGUCUGAAUAUAAAAUCAGUCA